GAGAAGUUGUUACUACUUAUAAUCACGGUUAAAAUUUAACAGACGUUUGUACAACCGGGUUAUAAUGUAAUAACAUUACAGAUAAUGCAUAUCUAAAGUGAGGUCUAUGUUAUAAUGGCAGUAGGCUACCGUUGAUUAUCAUUGAUGCUGCUAUUUAUUCAAGUAUUCAUUUACAACAAUAUGGAACAACUAGCCUUGCAUAUCAGUCGACAAAGCAGAUAGCAAUAUCCUUCUCUAGUCCCGCAACGUUGCCAGAUCGUUUAUUAACAAUUUAGAAAUAUAAUUAGUAUAACAGAAUUGGUUUCAUUUAUGAAAAAUUAUCAAGUCAUUAUUAUUAAUGAAAAUAUGACGAUUCCCUGGUUAAUGACUAUGGAGAAGACGAAACAAGUAACAAGAUAAAACCACAAGAGAGUCACGUGACAAGCUGCAGAUUACUAUUGGUGUUUGUUCUCAUUCAGCUGGAAUCGAUUGGCAAGGAAUUACAAAGUGGCAGAUCAAACAUUCUCCAAAAGCCGUUCAAGCACAGGCCUUCAAAACCCGCUCAAGCUCAUAACCCGUUGACAUUAGAGAUGUAUCACCCGCAAACAUCAGAGAGGAACCGCGAUUAUAAAGGUUCCAAUCGUGGUUGAUAAAAGCAAUCUAAAGUAAUUGUCGAACAUACAAGCGGGUAAUGACUUGAGCCUCUUGUUAUCAGUGGGAACUCGCCACGCCUUUCUAACAAAUACGAUAUUACCAUUAACAUUAUUUAUUUCGAGGAUUGUUUAAGGGACAUCUUGUUCUAUUUUAGUUCUAAAGAACUAGUUCAGUAUUUUUUUUGUAGUUCAAACUAUAACGAAUCUGCGCAGUGUACACGCAGUGUCCGAUACCACAAACGUAUCGAUAUUUAGUAUCGGAUCGAAACAAAAGUAUCGAUAGUGAAGUAUCGAGACAACUCUACGUCUACGCAACGCAAGUACGCAUGCGCUAUUAUUGUCAAAACUCAAAGAUAAAACUUUUAUGCAACAAGUUUCAAAGUAUUUAAUAUUCUUCUUUUGUUGUAAUUUCUCAUGUUUAUAAGUUAAUCUACUCAAAAGAUUGAUUUUUAAAAAUUACCCGUGUUAAUUCAAUGCCAAAUUUAAGCCAUUUUUACGAACAAGUAUUGAAUUCAUUUCCUGAAGUACAUAUCUGCGUUUUUGGUUAUAACCUACAAAUUUUAAUAAACAGUUGGUGAUACAUGGAACUAUGGUUAAUGGCUGAGAACGGCGGCAUGGAUAUUGUGAUUGCUAUUGGAGCAUUGGCCAGUGUCUUCAUUGGAGCAUUUGUCAGUCUAGUCAUGGUCUGUCGGCAUCGCACUUUCACAAAUAAAAACACCGCUUUCAUCUCAAAAGUCGCCGAACCCAAAGGAAUACAAUUCGACAACACCACUCUUCUGGGAUCGGAUCUUGAGUUGGGAGAAGUGCUGCUACAUCCUUAUAUUGAACACAUUCUACUCACAGAGAAUUGGACUGCAGAUGCUUCUGAUCUGAUCACACACUGCUUGGAAAUAGUGAAACUAUGUAGACAUGUAACCAACACUAUAGCGGCCUAUUCAGUCGGACAUCAUAACUCCCAAGCUCUCUAUGAAAUUGUACAGGUGGCGAAACAAGUGUCAGACUGUGUAGACGAUGUGGUUCGCACAAUGUACUGUCCGCCAGUACUGGACGCCAGUCUACUGGAAGCUCGCUGUCUGGCGCUAGUACUUACCGUCACUCAACUCAUUCUCGUUGCGAAGCACGGGCUGCUCCCUGCUUCCCCCUCCACCCCCGCUGCCGUCUGCGAGCGUGCGCUAGAACAUAUGCGCAAACACCUUACGGUUCUGAGAGAGGCGGCCUUAGUUCGUGAAGCAGCCGAACAUGAUGCAAAUUCUUCAGUAUUGCUAUAGGCUACUUCGUACUGUUUGCUUUAUAAACUCACAGCUAGCGCACAAGUUUAACUUUGCUGGCUGUGCCAAAUCAUUUAGAUCUUAGAUGUAAUAUCAACUGUUCAUAUUUUUUGGUGCCUAAUAAAAUAAAGAAUUGUAGUGGAGAGUUAGGGAAUGCACCUUUUUGGAACAAUAGCCCAGUGCACUGUUAGCGCGGCCCCGUCUCCUUUCUUUUGCCCGAUUCAAUUUUGUAAUAUCCAAGGCGAUCAGCACGCAGAUGCGUGGACUUUCUGCGAGGAGAAUUCUUUUUCCUUUCUUUUUCAUCCAUGCAAAAUGGAUAUAAUAUAUAUUUGAAGUAACACUUGCCAGAAUGCCUUAUUUUAAUCAAAGGUGAUUUGUAAUGGCCCGAUUAUGAUGUCCCCGUGUGAUUUUUUCUGUGAGGUUUUUUCAUAUCCUAUAUGUCAACCGUCCAACGACCUUCAAAGAUUGAAAGAACAUCGUAGGUCUACAGGAAGAAAUUUCCAACCUGCAAGGGUAAAUCAAAUACUAGGGUAAUAUCAAAUACUAGAAAUAGAUAAUUAUUUUAAGUGUAUCCCGAGUGGACGGGGGGAGGUCAAUUUGAUGAUGUGCUCUUCAAAUCUGCAUGAAACAAAACUUUAAAUUAACACUUUCAUUCUGAAAAUGAAAUGAAAAUUUUCUGACUUACUGUGUGUUUUGAAGGAAGUUUUGAUGCCGCACUCUAUAUAAUGACUUGACUUAUAUUUUCAUAUAUUUAUGCAGGUAGGCAGAUUUAUAUUUUCAUAAUAUUUAUGCAGGUAGGCAGAUUUAUAUGUUCAUAUAUUUAUGCAGGUAGGCACGUUACGAAACGGUAUCAUGUUUACACAUGGUUGGUGAAAAUCAUGGAAACAGCUUGAUAUUUCUUUCAAAAGGAAAGUUUGACGAUAGGUCUGAUUAGGAAUCCUAUUCGAAUUAGAAAAAAAAACACUUUUCUGUCGCUUCAAAAUUUUGGUCCGGUAUUUUGAAUCCAACUUCAUUCUUUUAAAUGGAAAGUUGGUAAUAUGAUGCAUGAUUUAGAUACAGAAUUUCAAGAGAAAAGCUAUUUCACAUUUUAAAAUAUUAAUAAAUCAUACUUUCAAACUUUUCUGUUAAAAUUGUUAAAUAUGUGAUUGGAUGUUACGGUAAUACUGUAAAAGUAAAAUUUGAUAGUUUAGAAUUUUUUAGAUUUUCAUGAACUCAUUUAUUUCAUUAUUGUAUGUUUCAUUUGUAUUUUUAAAUGUGAAUAACCAUGUAACGGAUUGACUUAUUGAUUUGCGGUUUUCGCCAUUAAUUUUAUCUUUAAAUUCUGUAUCGAAAUCAUGUAUUGUAUUACUACCCCUUCCUAUCUAAAAAAAUGUAGUUGGAUUCAAAAUGACGUACCAAAAUUUUGAAGCGACAGAAAAGUAGUUUUUUUUUUAAUAAUAUAGGAUCCCCCAAUUAGACCUAUUGUCAAAUUUCCCUUAAAAAAAAAAUAUAAGUUGUUUCCGUAUUUUUCACAAGCUAUGUAUACAUAACUAGUACUUUUGUUUUGCCAGUGUGAAGUAUUCAUUUAAUACAGUAUUCUUAGUAAUUUAUGUUGAUUUGUAUUAUUAUUCGUUAUUUUAUUAUUGUUUUGUCAAAAUAGAAACUGAUUUCAUUGAUUGAUUUUUUGAUUAUUAUUA
Molecule: unclassified non-coding RNA, 3576 nt
Filed under: Nilaparvata lugens (brown planthopper)
Lineage: Eukaryota; Metazoa; Arthropoda; Insecta; Hemiptera; Delphacidae
Description: transmembrane protein 98, transcript variant X1
Source: RNAcentral